GGAGAAUUACCUAGAUAUUCAUCUGUUCUAGGCUGGUAAGGGAACAUGUUCCAUACCUGAACAAGGUGAUUACAGCCCGCUAAUAUCGGCUGUCCAUGAUGCUUCAGAUACACCAGCUACUCCAGGAAAGAAGAGCAGGGCUGGUUUGAUAGGUUGUAUUGCAGUCCCCGUCGGAGUAGUGAUCUUGCUAUUAUUAUUUGCAGUUUUAUAUGUGCGGAGAAAAACAUCAGAAAAAGAUGACGAUGAAGGUAAAAGAGCAAUGAGCAUAUUAAUAAGGGUUAAUUCUGCAUGCGGUUCUAGAUCUUCUAGGAUUAGGUCUCCGACCAAAUACUUUCAGUUAUGCUGAGUUGAGAGCUGCAACAGAAGAUUUUAAUCCUUCAAAUAAGCUAGGAGAGGGAGGAUAUGGACCUAUUUAUAAGGGUACACUUUCUGAUGGGAGGGUUGUGGCUGUGAAGCAACUUUCAGUAGCAUCUCACCAAGGGAAGAGUCAAUUUGUAACCGAGAUUGCUACGAUAUCUGCAGUCCAACAUCGCAAUCUAGUGAAAUUGUAUGGAUGCUGCAUUGAAGGAAGCCACCGUAUUUUGGUUUAUGAGUAUCUUGAAAACAAGAGCCUUGAUCAGGCACUUUUUGGAAUGUUUUAUAGAGCCUUUAUCCAAGUUUUUUACACAACCAUUUGUUAUAAUUUUUCUCUGCUGAGGAGUGAAGAUUAAAGAAACCAAAAGAGUAAUUAUCUGAAUCAGAAUAUUCUGCAGUUUGAAGUACUCUGAAGUUACAUCCAAGUUUUUUCCUUGAGAAUAAAUCUUCUUUCACUGCCUUGGUUUUCUGCUGGAAAAUAAAGAAAGAAGAAAACUACUGCUAGUUAGUUUUUAUUAGUUUUUGCUCUGUAUAAGGGAUUAUUCAAUUAAGUAUCCUGAACAAUUAAAAUAUGUUAAACCAGCCCAAUUCUCAUAUCAAAACAUAUUUUCAUUAAUUUUAUUUUUCCUUUUUCUCUUAUAUGUGCAUUGGUUGUUUUUCCAUGUAAUGUUUCAGGAAGAAAUGACUUGCACCUUGACUGGCCUACCCGCUUCAAUAUAUUAUUAGGAACAGCAAGA
Long non-coding RNA from Prunus dulcis (almond), 1091 nucleotides. RefSeq lists it as uncharacterized. NCBI's taxonomy places the organism in Eukaryota, Viridiplantae, Streptophyta, Magnoliopsida, Rosales, Rosaceae. The transcript is spliced from 4 exons. The record is from RefSeq and is a predicted model, not a curated record.